AGUUUGAUCCGGGCCAGGACGAACCGCGGCGGCGCUAACAUGCAAUCGAGACAGAGCGCUCCCUGAUGUUAGCGGACGGGUGAGUAACACGUGGGUCGCCUGUAAGACUGGGAUAACUCCGGGAAACCGGGGUAAUACCGGAUGCUUGUUUGAACCGCAUGGUUCAAACAUAAAAGGUGGCUUCGGCUACCACUACAGAUGGACCCGCGGCGCAUUAGCUAGUUGGUGAGGUAACGGCUCACCAAGGCAACGAUGCGUAGCCGACCUGAGAGGGUGAUCGGCCACACUGGGACUGAGACACGGCCCAGACUCUGAGGCAGCAGUAGGGAAUCUUCCGCAAUGGACGAAAGCUGACGGAGCAACGCCGCGUGAGUGAUGAAGGUUUUCGGAUCGUAAAGCUCUGUUGUUAGGGAAGAACAAGUACCGUUCGAAUAGGGCGGUACCUUGACGGUACCUAACCAGAAAGCCACGGCUAACUACGUGCCAGCAGCCGGGUUAGUAGUCAAGCUGCCGGAAUUAUUGGGCGUAAAGGGCUCGCAGGCGGUUCCUUAAGUCUGAUGUGAAAGCCCCCGGUCAACCGGGGAGGGGAACUUGAGUGCAGAAGAGGAGAGUGGAAGAGAUGGAGGACCAGUGCGAAG
RNAcentral lists this ribosomal RNA (638 nucleotides) under Bacillus mojavensis. Its description in RNAcentral is "bacterial SSU rRNA". It matches the Rfam family "Bacterial small subunit ribosomal RNA", at positions 10 to 688 of the family's 1533-position model. Lineage: Bacteria; Bacillati; Bacillota; Bacilli; Caryophanales; Bacillaceae. The record is from RNAcentral.